GAUGACAAAUUUGUUUACCUUGAUUAUCUUUGCAAAAUAUUUUAGUAAGACUCAUAAUUACAUCAGUGUUCUACCUAACCAAAUGCUAGUUUUGAAAUAUUUAAUGCCAGAUAAAAUUUCACUACUAAAAUGUUCAAACUGAGUCAUUUUUUAAAUAAAAAUGGAAACAUGAGAAUAUACUCAAAUGUUUAACUAUAUUAGCAAAUAAAAACAGAAUUGAAAUGAGUCACACUGGACUUCAAAUCUCUAGCAUUUACCAAAUUCUGUGGUGCUUGGCAAGUUGCUUAGCCUUUGCCAUCCAGUUCUUUAUCAGUAAAAAGAUUAACUUACCUUGCAGGUUAUAAGGAUGAAAUGAGCAAAGGGCCAGGCACAUAGGUAUUCAAUAAAGGGUAUACUAUUAAUAUUGCCACUUUAAUUGUCUUACUGUGGAAUUUAUCAGUUUUAUAAUCAUAGAAAUUUAUUAAUUCAUAGCUCUUUUUGGAGUUCCAGUGUUUUUUAAGUUUUUAAAGGAACUAGCAGUUUUUGUUUGUUUGUUUGUUUGUUUGUUUUUGGAGACGGAGUCUCGCACUUUUGGCCCAGGCUGGAGUGCAGUGGCAUGAUCUUGGUUCACAGGAACUAGCAGUUUUUUUAAAUACAGCAGCUUUUUCAAUUAAUAGUGGCUUAGACACCACUGUGAAUGCUUGAAAGCACUUUUGUGAGUUUUUUUCCACUACAUGAAUAUGUUAGAUAAAAACUUAUAAAACUUUUAGGGACAAAAGACAGUUAAAUUCAUUGCCUAUCCCACACGGGGUAACAACCUUGGAAGACAUAUCAGAAAUAAAGCAAUUAUCUGGAUGGAUAGUCUGGAUGAACAUGACACAUAAAAAAGGUGCUGAUAGUUCUUCUGAAACAAUCCCUUUAAUGUCCUAGUCAUUUAAAACACACAUUCAGGAGAAGCCCGAAAUAGAAAGCUUUAAUGAAAAUUACUAAGUUUUGUCCAUUACCUUGAAUUUGGUUACUAUAGUAUCUAAAUUACAUUCUGUAACAAAUGCAUAUGUACAUGUGUUAGAAUCUUGUGUGUGGAAUUUGGUGAGACUUAUUAGACUCAACUAUUAGAAGACUAAAGGACCUCUGAUAUAUCUGCAAUUAUUGUUUUUAAUUAUAAUUACAUAGAUCUAUUUACAUGGACUUUGAGGACAGAUAGUUAUGCAAUUCAAUCAUGACUGAUUUCUCAUACAAAUCAACCUUUGAGUCACAUCACCUUUUGAAAACGCCUACUAAAAACAAAACAGUUAAUGUAGCUGAACAGGAACUGACUGUGGCUCAAAGCUGUGCCAAGGCUCUAAGGCUCAUUUUAUUGAGGUAGGGAGAUCAGCCUGUAUUAUCCAUGUGAGCUCAAUGUGAUCACAAGGGUUUUGAAAAGUGGAAGAAGGAAGCAGGAAAAUUCAGAGUCGGGGCGAUGUGGCUACAGAUGAAUGGUCAGGGAGAUGCAACUACUGGCUUUGAAGAUAGGGGGAAGAAGGGUCACAAGUCAAGGAAUUGAGUGCCCUCCAGAAGCCAGAAAAGGUAAGGAAAUGGAUUCUUCCCUGGAACCUCCAGAAAGGAACACAGUCCUGCUGACACCUUGGUUUUGGCCCUGUGAGACCUGUGUCAAACUUCUAACCUAUAGAUAAUAUAUUUUUGUUGUUUUAGGGCAUUAAGCUUUUGUUGAUUUGUUAUCAAAUAAAUAGGAAACUAAUACAGGUAUAUUUGGGUUAUCUUUAAAUGUAUAGACUUGAUGAUUUGGAAUCACUGAGCUUUCUUAUCAAUCCUUUGAAUUGUUCCAAGUAGUAGAUUUAUAUUAAUAUCCCAUAUUUUAUUGCCGUAGCACUUAGUUUGAAGAUGACAGGUCAAGAUUCCAAGGUACAGUUUGUGAUCAUGGACCAAACUGGAGCUUAGUGCUCUGUAGCAAAUUAACCUUUAUGGCCUUGGACUUGUGAUGAAAUGGUAAAGCACAUAUUAGAAUGCCUGAGGUUCCCAUCCUGGUCCUUUUAUUAGCUAUGUAACUUUAUGUAAAACACUUAUCUUUAUGUUUGUUUUCUCAAAGGCAAAACACAAACAUUAACAUAAUUAUGUAUUAGGGUUGUUGUGAAGAUUAAAAGAGAUAAUGCAAGUAGAGUAAUUUACAUGGUGUUUCGCACAUACAAUACCUCUUAACCAAUUUUUACCUAGUAAAACUAGCCGAUAGGCAUACUUACUUAUCACAUGGUAGAAGACUGGCUAGGAGGCUAUUCUCUAACCAACCUUAUGCUUUUGUCCCAACAGAUGAUCAGCUGCAUGCUUACAAAAGGCUAGUGGCAGUGGUCAUUGAACCUGUUUGUUUUACUUAGGGUAAUUAUGUAAUUUAGUUAAAUAUUCAGCAGUCCAUAAACUGUGAGUGUAAAAGACUUCUGGUUUUAUUUGAAAGCUAGGUUGAAUGCAUUAGAAAUACUUUAAAAAAAAAGCUAGUUGCUCCCCUCAACCCAUCCCCAGUCAAAAAGUGGUUAAAUUGGGUAUGGGUAAAAAAACUAAAAGACUGGACAAAUGUAGAAAGCAAGGAUGAAAGCAGAAUCCAGUUUUUCCCCCACUAAAAUACUUGAAACUAAAAAUGGUAGAAAAUGCUUCAUGUACCAUGGCAAUUUGGAAAUCCAGCCAGUGGAUUCAUACUCAAAAGGCUGUGGUCCAACAUCAAUUGUUGAGUGGAUUUACAAUUACAUUUAAAAUAGAAAUUAAAGGCAUUUAUCUAUUUUUAUGAUUUAUAAGAUUUUAAACAUUACCUACUGGCUCUGGUAGUAUUAUAAAAGGGCUAUAACAAGUGCUUUAUAAGUGUUAGUUUUGUUACUAUUAGCACCAUGAGUUGGGUUCUAAACUGGGGAUGAUUUUGCUCCCAAAGGACAUUUGGUGAUAUCUGGAAACAGUUUUGGUUUUCAUAACUGAGAGUUGCGGCUGGCAUCUUGUGGACCAGAGAUGGUGCUAAACAUCCCAUAAUGUACUGAACAGCCCCCUAAACCAAAGUACCCCAUCUAAAUGUCAGUAGUGCUGAGGGUGAGAAACCCUCAUAGAAACCCCUGCAGGCUAACAAAACUUUGCUAAUUCACUAGUGGAUAAGAUGUCAGAAGUUGUGGAAGAAAUCAGAUUCAUGUCUGUUAUAUGAAACAAUAAGACACACUUUUGUCUGGAAUGUUUUUGGAACUGCUGUAGAAUAAAGUUUCAGAAAAAUUUCAUGAAGGUACUUUUAAAGUAAAUCUCAUCAAUCUGGGAAUGUUAAAACAUGUAGCUGGACAGAACUUAGAUUGUCUCCUCUUUAAACUUGUUCAUCCAUGAUUUUUCCCCAUUUCAAGCCCAAAACUUUGGCUCAUCAGAUACAGAAAAGUAUUGGCCCUUCAUAACAAGACUCACACAAAGACCUAGGUAGCCAAGGCAGUGGCAUGAACUAAAUAUCAGGCCUAGGCCUAUCUUUGAUGCUUCUUUUGCUUAGAGCCUUCAUACCAUCUGUCACCAGAUCCUGGAACCUUUUAUCUGCAAAACAUGUCCUGAAUCUUUCCCCUUCUCUCCAUCACCUUGAUUACUCUGGUCUAAUCUUCUAGAUUAUGCUAAGAGCCUCCUCUCUGGUCUCCCAUCUAGUCCUGCCCCAUGUAGUUUUUAGCACCUAGAGUGAUCUUUUAAAAAUGAAAUAUCACAUCAUGCCAUUCUAAUUUAAAUGGCUUCCCUGAGAAUAAAAUUUGACCUCCUUAUGAUGGCCUUCAUAUAGCUAUAUAUGAUUUGAUCCCUCUACCCCCACAUCCUGUCUCAUCUCAUACCAAUCCACCCUUCAUUCAUGCUUCAUCCUUGUGGCCUUCUUUCAGUCUUUGAAUAAAUAUGAUAGUAAGUUAGAUGGGGACCUGAAUUUGGCCAGGCUGUAACAAAAACAUUUGGACAUAAAAUUAAAUUUAGAAAGAGGAAUUACCAUUUUUAAACAAGGCUUGAAACUGAGCUAGUUAAAAUAGUCACAGUGCAGACAAAUUGAUGUAGAAGUUAAUUGUUCAGUUCUAUACCAAACUAGUUCGGGUAUCAAGUAAACCAAGAAUAGGUUUCCUCAAAGUAAAAGAUAAAAGAGAUUGAAGAUUCAGGGUUAAAUACAUAUAGAUUUCACUAGUGAUACUGACUUUACAUAUGCAUUAUAAAUAAUCUGCCUAGGGAUGAUGCAUCAUUAGAGUCAUGAGUUGCCACUUACUCGCUGCUUCUGCCAGUGAAGAAAACAAUAGCAGCUUUUUUUUCUUAGUACUGAAUUCUUUUUAAUUGCCCUGUAGUCCAAAAGUGUGUUUGGUAUGAAUAGCAGCUUUUUUUCUAGCAAAUAAGAAAUAAAUGAAUCUUAUUUUUUAUUCUUCUUUUCCCUGUACCAGUUCCCAAGAAAUCUCAACAAAAUACAACAGGAUAAAAUAUUUUAAAAAGCCAGAUUUGCCUGAGAACUCUUUCUGAUUAUUUCCAAGCCCUGGGCAAAGGAACUAAUAUUUAUUAUUAAGGUUAGAUUAAAAGCUGUUAAAAUGUAGUUAUAAAAAAAGAAGUCUUUAAUAGCUAGAGUAAAAUUUUAUAAGUAAAAAAUUAUAAAAUUUAAAAAAAUUAUAAAAAUUAACUAUUACUCCAUUUUUAUGAAAUCUACUAAAAUGCUAUGUUGCUUUUUUCCAGUCUCUGAAAUAAAAAUCUUUCCCCUCCUGUACAUAUAAUCUUCAAAAAUCUCAAUGAUUAAGCCAUAAAGGAAAAAUGCCUGGUAACUUAAAAUGUCAGAUAUGAAAUCUACUUUUAUCAUUUAUAUUUCAGGGAUCUGGCUGCUUUAACAUACUAAUGGGGCAAGGGAGACAGCUCCCAGAGAGAGCUGCUUAAUAGAGGGAUGUUAAGUGAAAACAUAAGGAUUUUCCAUCUGUUAGGAAACAGUGUGUGGUAUCUAGUUCUUAUGGUUAGACUUGGAGAAAUACAUUAAUUGAAUGACACAGGAAAUACAGGAAACCACAUUUUGCUUGAAGAGCAAUUUUUGAGGACAAUAACGAGUAAUGAAAAAAUGUGUAAGGAUGCUGGCUGCUUCAGAAGCAAGAAAACAACUAAAAGGCUACUACUAUAUUAUAUAUGCUAGAAAUGGGUAAGUUAAUACUUAAAUCAUUUAACUAUUAAUCAGCAUGAACAUUUCUGAAAGAACUUCAAAAGUGAAGAUGAAUAAGAUAGGAAGAUUUAAGAUCCUGUCCCCAAAGUGUGGUAAAUAGGAAAGUUUACAGAUACUAUAUUCAAGUUGUUUUUAAAAGUUUCUGUGAAUUGUAUUACAAGCUAUGCCAAUGGAAGAUAUUUCCAAAUGCCAAAUUCUUUUUGGUUCAUUGGCAAAUAUUUCCAAAACAGAAAUACGUUUUAGCACAGUGAAGCAGCUGAUUACUAUGAUAGUUUCUUUUUUUCUUUUUUGUUUUUUUGCAGGUGGGUGGGUAAGGAGUAAGGGUAAGGGUGGUAAUACAAAUGUUAUAGAGUCCCCUAACAUUUUCACUACAUUCUAAGCCUAUAGGAGUUCUCUUAAAGACUUCCAUGGCUUCCAUGGUACUAUCACUGGUAUGAAAAGUACCCACAGAUGUGUUCUACACUUUCCUCUAUGUUUUCAAUUAGAUGCAAUAAGGAGAAAAUUGCAACAACCAAAGGUUUUUUUUUUUCUAACAUCUGUGUGUAUAUACCUUGUCAAAACCACUAGAGUACACCAGAACAUGGUAUAACAAACAGACCUUUUACUUAAGAUGUCAAAUCUCAUGAUAACCAAAAAAUUCUAAAACAAACAUACAACUAGCUCAAACUUACUGUUAUUGAAAUUUCAAGUGUAAUGUUUUUAUUUUCCAACUGCUUCACGAUUUUGGCAGUCUUCUUUUUAAUCAUAAAAUAUGUUUAAUAACUGAAUUUUGAUGACACUAAUAUUUUAUGAUUUUUAUUUAAGAGGUUGUUUUGCUUUUAUAAUAAUAAUUGCUACCACUUGUUGAGUUCUAUGUGCCAAGCACUAUCGUAAGCAUUUUUCAUAAACUGAUUUAAAUCCCUCCCACCACACACCUUGUGAAUUAAGUACUAUUAGGUACAUUUACACAUGAAUGGGUGCUUGGCAAGGUUAAGAAACUUGCACAAGGUCACACAGCCAAUAAAUGGGGGAUCCAGAAUUCCAGCCCAGGUCUGUUGGGCUCUAAAGCCUUUGCACAGUCUUAGCUGUUAUGUUGUAUUAUAUUGCCUCCUAGGUUAUGUAUGUAGAAUUUUUGGUCACAUUUAAAUAUUCCCCUUCGAUUCAUAGUGUUAAGAAAUAUACUUAAGCAGCUACGUAUUUACUAGGGAUGAAAAUGUUUCCAAUUCAUAAGCCAGAACACUUUUUUCUUCAGAUAUUUAACACAAAGAAGGGAUGAAGACCAUUUUUUAUUCCCAUCUCCCAUGGUUUCAUAUUUUUAUAAACAUUUCUAGAAUGCUACACAAUAGCAGAUAAUAUUCUGCAACUUUAAUUGAAGGUCAAACAUUUCUUAUAUAUUCUGAUGGUGAGAUGAUAGUGCCUGCGCUAAAACAAUCAGAUGACUCCACUGAGGGAAAGAGCAUUGCAUUAGCAACUCUGGGAGAAAUGUGUUAGUGAAUUAUUUCAUGAAUGCAGUGAGAAUAAAAUGAUUGUCUUAGAGGCCAUAAAUAAAUCCAUUUAAGUUAAAACCCAAGUCUAGGAAUUGAUAUCCACUUUGGCCAAAUUUAACUUUGGGUAAUCUAGCUUAAAAAAAAAAAAUCCAACUUUUCCCUAUAGUAUUUUAAAUAGUCAUUCUAUAUAUUACUCUUUAUUGGGUCUAACUUGGUUGAUAUUAUCUAUGCAGAUAAACUACAACUGUACCCAAAGCCUUUCUGAAUGAAGAUUUAUCAUCCUGAGGAGAAAAACCAAAGGCCACUAGGAAAUGAGGGUGUACAACACCCUUCCAGAGCCAACUUCAACAAACUCAAAUUUAUGUACAUCCUAAUCUAAAAUUUUUCUUUUCCUACAUAUAAAGGAAAUUAAAUAAAAAACCUGUCCGUUUCAGUUACA
Molecule: long non-coding RNA, 7036 nt
Filed under: Homo sapiens (human)
Lineage: Eukaryota; Metazoa; Chordata; Mammalia; Primates; Hominidae
Description: HSALNT0315258
Source: RNAcentral